Molecule: long non-coding RNA, 191 nt
Organism: Musa acuminata AAA Group (dessert banana)
Lineage: Eukaryota; Viridiplantae; Streptophyta; Magnoliopsida; Zingiberales; Musaceae
Exons: 3
Source: RefSeq, a predicted model, not a curated record
AACAAACUUAAUACGUGCUAAGUCGAAGCAUUGGCCUCCAGGGUGUUGGUAUGCUUCUUGAAGGUAUAUUUGGUGCUGCAGCUGGUUCGACUGCAUCAGUUGAAAAUGUUGGACUUCUGGGAUUGACACGCGUUGGAAGUAGGAGAAUCGUGCAGAUAUCGGCUGGUUUUAUGAUAUUCUUCUCCAUCUUC